UACGUAGGUGGCAAGCGUUAUCCGGAAUUACUGGGUGUAAAGGGGGCGUAGACGGUAAUGUAAGUCUGGAGUGAAAGGCGGGGGCCCAACCCCCGGACUGCUCUGGAAACUAUGUUACUAGAGUGCAGGAGAGGUAAGCGGAAUUCCUAGUGUAGCGGUGAAAUGCGUAGAUAUUAGGAGGAACACCAGUGGCGAAGGCGGCUUACUGGACUGUAACUGACGUUGAGGCUCGAAAGCGUGGGGAGCAAACAGG
This 253-nucleotide ribosomal RNA is filed under the name uncultured bacterium. RNAcentral's name for it is "partial 16S ribosomal RNA". It matches the Rfam family "Bacterial small subunit ribosomal RNA", at positions 524 to 776 of the family's 1533-position model. The record is from RNAcentral.